GGGGGCGUAGUUCAAUGGCAGAAUUGGGCUCUCCAAAAGCUUAGAUGGGGGUUCGACUCCCUCCGCCCCUG
RNAcentral lists this transfer RNA (71 nucleotides) under Candidatus Roizmanbacteria bacterium CG_4_10_14_0_2_um_filter_36_35. RNAcentral describes it as "tRNA-Trp". It matches the Rfam family "tRNA". From Rfam's summary of the family: Transfer RNA (tRNA) molecules are approximately 80 nucleotides in length. Their secondary structure includes four short double-helical elements and three loops (D, anti-codon, and T loops). Further hydrogen bonds mediate the characteristic L-shaped molecular structure. tRNAs have two regions of fundamental functional importance: the anti-codon, which is responsible for specific mRNA codon recognition, and the 3' end, to which the tRNAs corresponding amino acid is attached (by aminoacyl-tRNA synthetases). tRNAs cope with the degeneracy of the genetic code in two manners: having more than one tRNA (with a specific anti-codon) for a particular amino acid; and 'wobble' base-pairing, i.e. permitting non-standard base-pairing at the 3rd anti-codon position. Lineage: Bacteria; Candidatus Roizmaniibacteriota. RNAcentral also lists the same sequence under 4 other names. The record is from RNAcentral.